AACGCUGACGGUGUGCUUCACACAUGCAAGUCGAACGAGGUAGCAAUACCUAGUGGCGGACGGGUGAGUAACGCGUGGGAAUCUGCCUUUAGAUGGGGGAUAACGGGUCGAAAGACUCGCUAAUACCGCAUAUGACGAAAGUUGAAAGGAGUAAUCCGUCUAAAGAUGAGCCCGCGUCCGAUUAGCUAGUUGGUAGAGUAAAAGCCUACCAAGGCGACGAUCGGUAGCUGGUCUGAGAGGAUGAUCAGCCACAAUGGGACUGAGACACGGCCCAUACUCCUACGGGAGGCAGCAGUGGGGAAUUUUACGCAAUGGGCGAAAGCCUGACGUAGCGACACCGCGUGAGCGAAGAAGCCCCUUGGGGUGUAAAGCUCUGUCAGCUGGAACGAAGAAAAUGACGGUACCAGCAGAGGAAGCAUCGGCUAACUACGUG
Molecule: ribosomal RNA, 433 nt
Filed under: uncultured bacterium
Lineage: Bacteria
Description: bacterial SSU rRNA
Rfam family: Bacterial small subunit ribosomal RNA
Source: RNAcentral